AUUGAACGCUGGCGGCAUGCCUUACACAUGCAAGUCGAACGGCAGCACGGGUGCUUGCACCUGGUGGCGAGUGGCGAACGGGUGAGUAGUACAUCGGAACAUGUCCUGUAGUGGGGGAUAGCCCGGCGAAAGCCGGAUUAAUACCGCAUACGAUCCACGGAUGAAAGCGGGGGACCUUCGGGCCUCGCGCUAUAGGGUUGGCCGAUGGCUGAUUAGCUAGUUGGUGGGGUAAAGGCCUACCAAGGCGACGAUCAGUAGCUGGUCUGAGAGGACGACCAGCCACACUGGGACUGAGACACGGCCCAGACUCCUACGGGAGGCAGCAGUGGGGAAUUUUGGACAAUGGGCGAAAGCCUGAUCCAUCAAUGCCGCGUGUGUGAAGAAGGCCUUCGGGUUGUAAAGCACUUUUGUCCGGAAAGAAAUCCUUGACUCUAAUACAGUCGGGGGAUGACGGUACCGGAAGAAUAAGCACCGGCUAACUACGUG
Molecule: ribosomal RNA, 486 nt
Filed under: uncultured bacterium
Lineage: Bacteria
Description: partial 16S ribosomal RNA
Rfam family: Bacterial small subunit ribosomal RNA
Source: RNAcentral